AGGAUGAACGCUGGCGGCAGGCUUAACACAUGCAAGUCGAACGCGUGUAGCAAUACACGAGUGGCGCACGGGUGAGUAACGCGUGGAUAUCUGCCUUUUGGUUCGGAAUAACCCCGGGAAACUGGGGCUAAUACCGGAUGGUUCCUACGGGAUAAAGAUUUAUCGCCAAAAGAUGAGUCCGCGUACGAUUAGCUAGUUGGUGAGGUAAUGGCUCACCAAGGCGACGAUCGUUAGCUGGUCUGAGAGGACGAUCAGCCACACUGGGACUGAGACACGGCCCAGACUCCUACGGGAGGCAGCAGUGGGGAAUAUUGGACAAUGGGGGCAACCCUGAUCCAGCCAUGCCGCGUGAGUGAUGAAGGCCUUCGGGUUGUAAAGCUCUUUUGGCGGGGACGAUGAUGACGGUACCCGCAGAAUAAGCCCCGGCUAACUUCGUGCCAGCAGCCGC
Molecule: ribosomal RNA, 448 nt
Filed under: uncultured bacterium
Lineage: Bacteria
Description: SSU rRNA
Rfam family: Bacterial small subunit ribosomal RNA
Source: RNAcentral